AUUGAACGCUGGCGGCAUGCUUUACACAUGCAAGUCGAACGGCAGCGCGGGGCAACCUGGCGGCGAGUGGCGAACGGGUGAGUAAUACAUCGGAACGUACCCAGAAGUGGGGGAUAACGUAGCGAAAGUUACGCUAAUACCGCAUACGUUCUACGGAAGAAAGUGGGGGACCUUCGGGCCUCAUGCUUUUGGAGCGGCCGAUGUCUGAUUAGCUAGUUGGUGAGGUAAAGGCUCACCAAGGCGACGAUCAGUAGCUGGUCUGAGAGGACGACCAGCCACACUGGGACUGAGACACGGCCCAGACUCCUACGGGAGGCAGCAGUGGGGAAUUUUGGACAAUGGGCGCAAGCCUGAUCCAGCAAUGUCGCGUGAGUGAAGAAGGCCUUCGGGUUGUAAAGCUCUUUUGUCAGGGAAGAAACGGCUGAGGAUAAUACCUUCGGCUAAUGACGGUACCUGAAGAAUAAGCACCGGCUAACUACGUG
This 482-nucleotide ribosomal RNA is filed under the name uncultured bacterium. RNAcentral describes it as "partial 16S ribosomal RNA". It matches the Rfam family "Bacterial small subunit ribosomal RNA", at positions 30 to 507 of the family's 1533-position model. The record is from RNAcentral.